Molecule: ribosomal RNA, 490 nt
Filed under: uncultured bacterium
Lineage: Bacteria
Description: partial 16S ribosomal RNA
Rfam family: Bacterial small subunit ribosomal RNA
Source: RNAcentral
GAUGAACGCUAGCUACAGGCUUAACACAUGCAAGUCGCGGGGCAGCAUGGGGGUUGCUUGCAAUCCCCGAUGGCGACCGGCGCACGGGUGAGUAACGCGUAUCCAACCUGCCCUUCACCACGGGAUAACCCGGCGAAAGUCGGACUAAUACCGUAUUUUGUCCAUUGACGGCAUCCGAUUUGGACGAAAGGCUUGGCGGUGAGGGAUGGGGAUGCGUCCGAUUAGCCAGACGGCGGGGUAACGGCCCACCGUGGCUACGAUCGGUAGGGGUUCUGAGAGGAAGGUCCCCCACACUGGAACUGAGACACGGUCCAGACUCCUACGGGAGGCAGCAGUGAGGAAUAUUGGUCAAUGGGCGUAAGCCUGAACCAGCCAAGUAGCGUGCAGGAUGACGGCCCUAUGGGUUGUAAACUGCUUUUAUGCGGGGAUAAAGUGGCCCACGUGUGGGCUUUUGCAGGUACCGCAUGAAUAAGGACCGGCUAAUUCCGUG